RNAcentral lists this long non-coding RNA (7222 nucleotides) under Panax ginseng (ginseng). RNAcentral describes it as "long non-coding RNA (PGIN_LNC010756)". Lineage: Eukaryota; Viridiplantae; Streptophyta; Magnoliopsida; Apiales; Araliaceae. The record is from RNAcentral.
GAAAAAGCACACUUUAAUUAUUUUUCUCUCCAAAGUUUUCUCUCUAGCCCAAAUCCAAAAUUCUAGAGUGAGAGAGAGUGAAAUAUUGAGCCAAGAUCAUGUAAUAACAAGCCCAAUUCAGUUCGUCAAGAUCAGAAAUCAAAGUAAAGCUCAAAAGGUAUAAACCCCUAAAUUCUAGAAAUCCUUUUGAUUCUUGUAAAACUUAGUGUUUAGAUGUUUAAUGUGGUGUAUUAUGAUGUUAUUGAGUGAUCUAGGUUGUAAUAACAUGGACCCAUAACAUCUAAAUACAAUGACCAGAUAAAUUUUAUCAAAGUCAAACCCUAAUAUUAUUAGAACGUCAACGUUCAGUUAGAAAACCCUAACGUCUGAUAAGAAACCCUAGAAACCGAUUCUGGAAACCCUAAUUUCUGUUUUGGGAAUUUAAAACCCUAAUUUGGAUAUUAAAAUCAUAAUUUGGGAAUUUAAUUGUAAUAUAUAAAGUUUAUAUAUUUUAAUUGCAACCUAAUCAGGGAAAACCCUAAUGAUUAAUUAGAUUAUCUAAUAAUUUAGAAAACCCUAAUGUUACGAUUUAAAACCCUAAUUAUUCUGUUAGGAACCCUAAUGUACAGUUAUGGAAUUAAUUGCUAAAUUACUAAUUUUAAUUAGGAAUUAUUAAUCCUAAUUGUCAAUAAUGAUCUAUAAAUAGGGAAAUUAGAAUAUAAUUAGAAAAUCCUAAUUAUAAUUUAUAGAUAUUAAUUUUUUAUCUAGAAAAUCUAAAUUUGAAAAUAUUUGAAAAUCGAUUUUCUUAGAACCUUAGGUUUUAACCCUAAUGGUCUAACCCUAAGGGUUGGGUUAAAUGACAAGUAUGCUAUUGAUUUUAAAAGUUAAAUGUCCAAUUUACCCUUUUGUGCAUUAUUGGAUAGAAGUGAAAAGUCUAAUUUACCCUUUUUGUCCCAUUUGGUGAAUUAUUGGUAGAAAAAUCCUACCAUAUCUUUCAAAGCCAACCAUUAUUGAUUUUGUGGUCUGAAAAUCCCAGCAAAUUAGUCUAUAAGAUCAGCAAUUAACAAGCCAAGUUCAUUGCAUCAAUUAUUAUAGAUUUUAGAGAGAGGAAAAGCUCACUUUAAUUAUUUUUCUCUCCAAAGUUUUCUCUCUCGCCCAAAUCCGAAAUUCUAGAGUGACAGAGAGUGAAAUAUUGAGCCAAGAUCAUGUAAUAACAAGCCCAAUUCAGUUCGUCAAGAUCAGAAAUCAAAGUAAAGUUCAAAAGGUAUAAACCCCUAAAUUCUAGAAAUCCUUUUGAUUCUUGUAAAACUUAGUGUUUAGAUGUUUAAUGUGGUGUAUUAUGAUGUUAUUGAGUUAUCUGGGUUGUAAUAACAUGGACCCAUAACAUCUAAAUACACGAAAUUAAUGCUUUCUAAAAUCUGGAAAACUUGAAAAAUAUGGCAUGACAACCGAAUGUCAGAUGCCUUUAAUCUGUGUAUGUUAGGUGUUUAAUGUGUUUGUUGUUAUAGUUCUAUAGUAUGCCAUGAGGUCUUCAUUCGGAAACUUGAAUCCAGUCUAGAUCGUGUGUAGAUUAAAAGUUAUAAGUGGUCAAACAUGCCUGCCCGACCAUGACUUUUUCCUUUUUCUGGGCAACCCAGAAUGCAUAAACAGGCGUCUGACAGUAUAUUCCAGCGUCUAGAUCUGUCAGUGUGUUGAUUAUUUGGUAAGGACAUUAUGUCUAAGUUGUAGUAUGUUAUGUUAACUCUAUGCUCAUGCUUUUAUAUCCUUGAAAUAAUCAACAUAUUGAACUCUAUGGAUGGUCAAACCUGCAAAGAUGAUCACAGAUUUGGUUUUCUAGAAUUUCCAAAAAACUUAAGAGCAAUGUUUCUGACACACUUUGACUGGACGGAUCCUGGCGAUUGAAGUGUUUUUGAACUAUGAUGUUAAUAUAUAAAUGUUCCUUGUCAUGUCUAUUACUAGUUUGAACCUUUAGACCACCUGAACAAAGAUCAGAACAUAGAUUAAAGUGAGCUUGAAUGUGUUAACUCAAAACUUUCUGGGCCCAGAAAACCCAGAACGUGUUCUGACAGUGAAUUUGUUUGCUUAGAUCUCUUUGUUGUUAUGCUAUUUGAUCAAACUAAUUAUUGUAUUGUGUAGUCUCGUACGAGUACUACACGAUCUGACCAAGAUCAAUCCCAGAAACCAAAUGGUCUAAGAUCUACAAGUGGUCAAAGUAGCAGCCUUGAUAACGAAGUUGUCAGGCUCAAGAACACCUAUAACGACAGUUUCGUCGCUAUAGGGCCCUUUAGCGACACUUAUUUUCGGAAAUUACAUUAAUUAAAUAAAUAAAUAGAUAAAAAUAGUUUUUAAUUAUUAAAAAUACAUAAUAAAUUAUGAAAAAUUAUUUUAAAGCCUGAAAAAUAGUUUUUAAUUAUUUUGAGUAUAUUUCGAAAAUAUUUAGUAUUUUUGGAGUAUAAAAGGUAUUUAUUUAUUUAAUUAUAAUAUUAAAUAAAUGAUUUAAAAAUGGUUUUAAUUCAUGAAAAAUUAUAUUAUGACGUUAGAAAAUAUUUUAAGUUAUAAAAUAUAACUUUUGAUAUUUUGGUAUGAAAAUAUUAAUAUUUUAUUAUUAAUAUCAAUUAUUGGAUAAUAGAUUUAACUGUUUAAAAAUCAUAGAAAUAUGAUUUUAAGGUAUUAAAAAUAUUGUGAUAUAUUAUAAUUAUAUUAUUAUAUUAUGUUAUGAUUUUCAUUAAUAUUUAAUGAUAAAUAGAUAUUAAUGAUUAAGAAAUUAUGUGGUAUUUAAUUUAUUUAAAUACGUUAUAAAUGAUUGGAAAAUCAAUAUAAAUGGUAAUAAUUAUCUGAAAAUUAUUACAAGUCUUAGAAAAUAUUUUGACUGAUAAGAAAAUUAUCUGAGGCAUGGUUAAAUGUUUAAGCAAAGUUUAAUUGAACUUAAACUCGUCAAUUGUCCGACUAGACCGUCGGGAUGAUAGAAUUGUGUUGGUUUCAACUCAGAAUGAAAUAGCUUGACUUGAUAUUAAGUUUUAUGUGCUGAAUAGACUGAUGGUGUUAUGCUCUACGUGUUUAGGUUACUGUUAUAUUAUGAUGAUAUUAUUCUAAUAUUGUAUAUCUAUAUUAUUAAUAUUAGGUCUUCAAACGAAGUUUAUUAUAUUGUGUUACGGUAAUCAACGGUUCAGGCAAGUUUCCUUUUACUUAACUCUACUAAGAGUUGUUCAUUCAGAUGUACUUAUGGUUAAUCAUCUCUGAUUGCCAUGUUGAAUUGUACUAUAUACAUCUUGCAUGUAUAAGUCAGGUAUGAAAGGCUGAUCACCUUCAUUACCAGUUGGUCCAGAUAUAUUAUUGUUCAUGUUCAAUACUUGUUCAGUCAAAAUUUUGUUCAUGCUAAUUCACAAAUACAUUGUGAAGGAUAGACACCUUAUUAUUCAAACUCUUUUAAUCGUGAUAUAUCUUUAAAUUGUUUAAAAACUUGCUGGGAAACUUUCAUGCUCACCCUUGCUAUAUCAUGAUAAACAUUGCAGAUAAGGUGAAUGCGUUCGGAUACAGGAAAAAGCAUAGUCAUCCUCUUGUAGAUUCAGAAACUCCCCCUCAGUUGGAACCUCUUCUUGAGCUGUAGACAUCUCCUCCUCAGCCGGUGUAUACUCAAUCAUGAGAAUUUCAGGGAUCUCCCCCUCAGCUGGAGCAUUGUUCUCUUUAUUUGCUUGGGGAUUUUGUGACAACCCGAGAAAAUUAGACAAUUUAUUAAAAUCUUAAAUGAUUGAUUUAAGGUCAAAUAAUAGACCUAGAUAGAAAAUUAGUGUAUGUGUUUGAAGUUUUGAGAUGGAAUUUUGUGGAUUUCAAAAUUCUGUAUAAAUUUUUUGGUGAAUUAUUCAAAAUUGAGGGUAUAUGUGUAUAUGAUCUGUGAUUAUGGUAUUAUGUGUACAAAAUGUGGUUAAGGGUCAAGGGUUAACCAAAUUAAUUUUAUCAAAGUCAAACCUUAAUAUUAUUAGAACGUCAACGUUCAGUUAGAAAACCCUAACGUCUGAUAAGAAACCCUAGAAACCGAAUCUGGAAACCCUAAUUUCUGUUUCGGGAAUUUAAAACCCUAAUUCGGAUAUUAAAAUCCUAAUUUGGGAAUUUAAUUGCAAUAUAUAAAAUUUAUAUAUUUUAAUUGCAACCUAAUCAGGGAAAACCCUAAUGAUUAAUUAGAUUUUCUAAUAAUUUAGAAAACCCUAAUUUUACGAUUUAAAACCCUAAUUAUUCUGUCAGGAACCGUAAUAUACAGUUAUGGAAUUAAUUGCUAAAUUAGUAAUUUUAAUUAGGAAUUAUUAAUCCUAAUUGUCAAUAAUUAUUUAUAAAUUGGGAAAUUAGAAUAUAAUUAGAAAAUUCUAAUUAUAAUUUAGAGAUAUUAAUUUUCUAUUUAGAAAAUCUACUUUUGAAAAUAUUUGAAAAUUGAUUUUUUUAGAACCUUAGGUUUUAACCCUAAUGGUCUAACCCUAAGGGUUGGGUUAAAUGACAAGUAUGCUAUUGAUUUUAAAAGUCAAAUGUCCAAUUUACCCUUUUGUGCAUUAUUGGAUAGAAGUGAAAAGUCUAAUUUACCCUUUUUCUCCCAUUUGGUGAAUUAUUGGUAGAAAAGUCCUACCAUAUCUUUCAAAGCCAACCAUUAUUGAUUUUGUGGUCUGAAAAUCCCAGCAAAUCAGUCUAUAAGAUCAGCAAUUAACAAGCCAAGUUCAUUGCAUCAAUUAUUAUAGAUUUUAGAGAGAGGAAAAGCUCACUUUAAUUAUUUUUCUCUCCAAAGUUUUCUCUCUCGCCCAAAUCUGAAAUUCUAGAGUGAGAGAGAGUGAAAUAUUGAGCCAAGAUCAUGUAAUAACAAGCCCAAUUCAGUUCGUCAAGAUCAGAAAUUAAAGUAAAGUUCAAAAGGUAUAAACCCCUAAAUUCUAGAAAUCCUUUUGAUUCUUGUAAAACUUAGUGUUUAGAUGUUUAAUGUGGUGUAUUAUGAUGUUAUUGAGUUAUCUGGGUUGUAAUAACAUGCACCCAUAACAUCUAAAUACACGAAAUUAAUGGUUUCUAAAAUCUGGAAAACUUGAAAAAUAUGGGAUGACAACCGAAUGUCGAUGCCUUUAAUCUGUGUAUGUUAGGUGUUUAAUGUGUUUGUUGUUAUAGGUCUAUAGUAUGCCAUGAGGUCUUCAUUCGGAAACUUGGAUCCAGUCCGGAUAGUGUGUAGAUUAAAAGUUAUAAGUGGUCAAACAUGCCUGCCCGACCGUGACUUUUCCCUUUUUCUGGGCAACCCAUAAUCCAUAAACAGGCGUCUGACAGUAUAUUCCAGCGUCUAGAUCUGUCAGUGUGUUGAUUAUUUGGUAAGGACAUUAUGUCUAAGUUGUAGUAUGUUAUGUUAACUUUAUGUUCAUGCUUUUAUAUCCUUGAAAUAAUCAACAUAUUGAGCUCUAUGGAUGGUCAAACCUGCAAAGAUGAUCACGGAUUUGGUUUUCUGGAAUUUCCAGAAAACUUAAGAGCAAUGUUUCUGACACACUUUGACUGGAUGGAUCCUGGCGAUUGAAGUGUUUUUGAACUACGAUGUUAGUAUAUAAAUGUUCCUUGUCAUGUCUACUACUAGUUUGAACCUUUAGACCACCUAAACAAAGAUCAGAACAUAGAUUAAAGUGAGCUUGAAUGUGUUAACUCGAAACUGUCUGGGCCCAGAAAACCCAGAACGUGUUCUAACAGUGAAUUUGCUUGCUUAGAUCUCUUUGUUGUUAUGCUAUUGGAUCAAACUAAUUGUUGUAUUGUGUAGUCUCGUAUGAGUACUACACGAUUUGACCAAGAUCAAUCCCAGAAACCAAAUGGUCUAAGAUCUACAAGUGGUCAAAGUAGCAGCCUUGAUAACGAAGCUGUCAGGCUCAAGAAUUUCGUCGCUAUAGGACCCUUUAGCGACACUUAUUUUCAGAAAUUAUAUUAAUUAAUUAAAUAAAUAGAUAAAAAUGGUUUUUACUUAUUAAAAAUACAUAAUAAAUUAUGAAAAAUUAUUUUAAAGCCUGAAAAAUAGUUUUUAAUUAUUUUGAGUAUAUUUCGAAAAUAUUUAGUAUUUUUGGAAUAUAAAAGGUAUUUAUUUAUUUAAUUAUAAUAUUAAAUAAAUGAUUUAAAAAUGGUUUUAAUUCAUGAAAAAUCAAUAAAAAUUAUAUUAUGACGUUAGAAUAUAUUUGAAGUUAUAAAAUAUAACUUUUGAUAUUUUGGCAUGAAAAUAUUAAUAUUUUAUUAUUAAUAUCAAUUAUUGGAUAAUAGAUUUAACUGUUUAAAAAUCAUAUAAAUAUGAUUUUAAGGUAUUAAAAAUACUGUGAUAUAUUAUAAUUAUAUUAUUAUAUUAUGUUAUGAUUUUCAUUAAAAUUUAAUGAUAAAUAGAUAUUAAUGAUUAAGAAAAUAUGUGAUAUUUAAUUUAUUUAAAUACAUUAUAAAUGAUUCGAAAAUCAUGAUAAAUGGUAAUAAUUAUCUGAAAAUUAUUACAAGUCUUAAAAAAUAUUUUGACUGAUAAGAAAAUUAUCUGAGGCAUGGUUAAAUGUUUAAGCAAAGUUUAAUUGAACUUAAACUCGUCAAUUGUCCAACUAGACAAUUGGGAUGAUAGAAUUGUGUCGGUUUCAAGUCAGACUGAAAUAGCUUGACUUUAUAUUAAGUUUUAUGUGUUGAAUAGACUGAUGGUGUUAUGCGCUACGUGUUUAGGUUACUGUUAUAUUGUGAUGAUAUUAUUCUAAUAUUGUAUAUCUAUAUUAUUAAUAUUAGGUCUUCAAACGAAGCUUAUUAUAUUGUGUUACGGUAAUCAACGGUUCAGGCAAGUUUCCUUUUACUUAACUCUACUAAGAGUUGUUCAUUCAGAUAUACUUAUGAUUAAUCAUCUCUGAUUGCCAUGUUGAAUUGUACUCUAUACAUCUUGCAUGUAUAAAUCAAGUAUGAAUGGCUGAUCACCUUCAUUACCAGUUGGUCCAGAUAUAUUAUUGUUCCUGUUCAAUACUUGUUCAGUCAAAAUUUUGUUCAUGUUAAUUAAGGGUGUACAUUGUGAAGGAUAGCCAGCUUAUUAUUCAGACUCUUUCAAUCGUGAUAUAUCUUUAAAUUGUUUAAAAACUUGCUGGGCAACUUUCAUGCUCACCCUUGCUAUAUCAUGAUAAACAUUGCAGAUAAGGCGAAUGCGUUCGGAUACAGGAAAAAGCAUAGUCAUCCUCUUGUAGAUUCAGAAACUCCCCAUCAGCUGGAACCUCUUCUUGAGCUGUAGACUUCUCCCCCUCAG